Molecule: ribosomal RNA, 407 nt
Filed under: uncultured bacterium
Lineage: Bacteria
Description: partial 16S ribosomal RNA
Rfam family: Bacterial small subunit ribosomal RNA
Source: RNAcentral
GACGAACGCUGGCGGCGUGCCUAAUACAUGCAAGUAGGACGCAGUUGCGAACGGGUGAGUAACGCGUAGGUAACUGCCUGUUAAAGGGGGAUAAAUAUCGGAAACGAUAGCUAAUACCGCAUACUAGUAGAUGGACCUGCGUUGUAUGAGCUAGUAGGUAGGGUAAUGGCCUACCUAGGCAACGAUACAUAGCCGGCCGUGGAGGGUGAACGGCCAAACUGGGAAUGAGACAAGGCCCAGACUCCUAAGGGAGGCAGCAGUAGGGAAACUUCGGAAAUGGGGGGAAACCUGACCGAGCAACGCCGCGGGAGUUCAGAAGGGUUGCGGAUCUGAAAGCUCUGUUGUUAGGGAAGCGGUACUUAACCAGAAAGGGACGGCUAACUACGUGCCAGCCACCGCGGUAAUUC